CCUACGGGUGGCAGCAGUGGGGAAUAUUGGACAAUGGGGGCAACCCUGAUCCAGCCAUGCCGCGUGUGUGAAGAAGGCCCUCGGGUUGUAAAGCACUUUCAGUGAGGAAGAACGCCUGGUGGUUAAUACCCAUCAGGAAAGACAUCACUCACAGAAGAAGCACCGGCUAACUCCGUGCCAGCAGCCGCGGUAAUACGGAGGGUGCGAGCGUUAAUCGGAAUUACUGGGCGUAAAGCGCGCGUAGGUGGCUUGAUAAGCCGGUUGUGAAAGCCCCGGGCUCAACCUGGGAACGGCAUCCGGAACUGUCAAGCUAGAGUGCAGGAGAGGAAGGUAGAAUUCCCGGUGUAGAGGUGAAAUGCGUAGAGAUCGGGAGGAAUACCAGUGGCGAAGGCGGCCUUCUGGACUGACACUGACACUGAGGUGCGAAAGCGUGGGUAGCAAACAGGAUUAGAUACCCGGGUAGUC
RNAcentral lists this ribosomal RNA (465 nucleotides) under Vreelandella stevensii. Its description in RNAcentral is "partial 16S ribosomal RNA". It matches the Rfam family "Bacterial small subunit ribosomal RNA", at positions 338 to 795 of the family's 1533-position model. Lineage: Bacteria; Pseudomonadati; Pseudomonadota; Gammaproteobacteria; Oceanospirillales; Halomonadaceae. The record is from RNAcentral.